AUGUCAGAGAAAGUAAAAGCAGAGCAUCAGAAGUCAGCAGGAUUAUUGCAGCCUAUGCUAAUACCUGAAUGGAAGCAGGAUAAGCUUGGCAUGGAUUUCAUUACCAGAUUUCCCAGAACCCGAACGGGAUAUGAUUCUAUCUGGGUAAUAGUUUAUUCGCUUGAUCAAAGUGGCUCGCUUUAUCCCAGAGAGAACCACCUAUACAAGUGCGAAGUUGGCCAAGAUAUAUAUUUGAGAAAGGAUCGUAUGUCUGCAUGGAGUUCCGAGGACCAUCGUAGAGGAACGCAGUUUUCCUCAAAGUUUUGGAAUCAGCUGCACCAGACUUUGGGUACUAGGCUAGAGUUCGGUACAGCCUUUCAUCCGCAGACAGAUGGAUAA
RNAcentral lists this ribosomal RNA (378 nucleotides) under Triticum aestivum (bread wheat). Its description in RNAcentral is "partial small subunit ribosomal RNA". Lineage: Eukaryota; Viridiplantae; Streptophyta; Magnoliopsida; Poales; Poaceae. The record is from RNAcentral.